Long non-coding RNA from Oncorhynchus tshawytscha (Chinook salmon), 1796 nucleotides. Lineage: Eukaryota; Metazoa; Chordata; Actinopteri; Salmoniformes; Salmonidae. The record is from Ensembl.
UAGAGAGAGAGAGCGAUAGAGAGAGAGAGCGAUAGAGAGAGAGAGGGAGAGCAAUAGAUAGAGAGAGCGAUAGAGAGAGAGCGAUAGAGAGAGAGAGCAAUAGAGAGAGAGGGAGAGCAAUAGAUAGAGAGAGCGAUAGAGAGAGAGAGCGAUAGAGAGAGAGAGCGAUAGAGAGAGAGCGAUAGAGAGAGAGCGAUAGAGAGAGAGCAAUAGAGAGAGAGAACAAUAGAGAGAGAGAGCUAGAGAGAGAGCGAUAGAGAGAGAGCGAUAGAGAGAGCUAGAGAUAAAGUGAGAGAGAGAGACCUAGAGAGACCCAGAGAGAGCUAGAGAGAGAGCUAGAGAGAGAGCAAUAGAGAGAGAGCGAUAGAAAGAGCAAUAGAGAGAGAGCGAUAGAGAGUGCGAGGCUAGAAUGAGGGGGAGGGGAGAACAAUUGGAGUGGCACAAGGUUGUAUGGUUUUCUUGGAAAUAUAAAAUCUAGGAUGCGUUAUGGAGCGGUACACUAUAACAGCCUUUAAAGGUAAUGUACGCUCCAACAUAUGCAGCACUUACCAUGAAUGUGAUCUCUGCAAAUAUCUGGGAAAAUGCCUUUAAUAGAGGCUUUGUGGUUUGUAUACUGUGCCACCUUCUAUUUAAUGCCUUCGUUUUACUGUGAAUUUGAUGUGUUGACGUCUUGACCUCAGAUCUGGCCUUUUCAUAUAUACGUACAGUAGAUGUCUGUUUGAACAUUCCAACCUUAUCACACAUAAAUUACACUCCUAGCUGGCAAGAUUUUCUGGCGUUUCCAUUCAGACAGUAAUGUGGUUUCCCGUGAUAGAUGUCUGUAGAAUGUGCUUUGCUGUCCUUCCAGCUCUGGUUCUGGUUAGCAUGGAUCAAAGCUGAUAUACGAGAUCAGAACUCUCUUAACAGAUUUCUCUCCACGUUCCUCUCCUCCAUUUUCCACUCUUGUCUGUCUUCAUGGCCUGGCAGUGGCCACAUGUGUUCAUCGCUCUAUAGCCUCAUUGUGACAUCCUCAGGGGGGUACAGAGCUCGUCCAGGGUUUCGUGUCCUGCUAGAGCAGACAGGCCUAAAAUAGACUUUGAUUUCUCACUCUGUUUAAGUGUCACAGGUGGCCUUCCACGUUCUCACCAAAACGCCUUCCUCCUUGUCCUCCACUCCUCCCGCCCCUCCCCUUCUCUCCUCCCCUCCUCUUCCCCUCCUCCUCCAUUCCGCUCCCCUUCUCUCCUCCCCUCCUCUUCCCCUCCUCCUCCAUUCCCCUCCCCUUCUCUCCUCCCAUCCUCCUUCCUCCCUUUUCCUCUUCUCCUCCUCUUCUCUCCUCUGUUUCUCUCCUCCUCUUUUCUCCUCCUCUUCUCUCCUUCUCUUCUCUCCAUGGUAACUCACUUCCUGACAUCAGGUUUGCAAUUUAGUGUCACCAGUUUUAUUGCCUCUGAAAUUCAAUCUUCGGGCAGCAUCUUGGGCUUGUUAGGCCACAUUAUAGCCACUCCCCCUUACAGCCUUACACACACACACAUUGACAAAUAAACAUGCGCACACAACAUGACACAAACACAUCCCCAUCUCCACCCGGUCCCACUCUAAACAACACAAGAGGCCACCCUGCCUUUUUUUGCACACAAGACAGAGGUGUGCCCGGUCCUAAAUCUCAACUCCCAGAACAGACCAAGACAGAGGUGUGCCCGGUCCUAAAUCUCAACUCCCAGAACAGACCAAGACAGAGGUGUGCCCGGUCCUAAAUCUCAACUCCCAGAACAGACCAAGACAGAGGUGUGCCCGGUCCUAAAUCUCAACUCCCAGAACAG